This 465-nucleotide ribosomal RNA is filed under the name uncultured bacterium. Its description in RNAcentral is "bacterial SSU rRNA". It matches the Rfam family "Bacterial small subunit ribosomal RNA", at positions 329 to 792 of the family's 1533-position model. The record is from RNAcentral.
GGCCAGACUCCUACGGGAGGCAGCAGUGAGGAAUAUUGGUCAAUGGGCGCGAGCCUGAACCAGCCAAGUCGCGUGAGGGAAGACGGUCCUAUGGAUUGUAAACCUCUUUUGUCGGGGAGCAAAAGACGCCACGCGUGGCGUUCCGAGAGUACCCGGAGAAAAAGCAUCGGCUAACUCCGUGCCAGCAGCCGCGGUAAUACGGAGGAUGCGAGCGUUAUCCGGAUUUAUUGGGUUUAAAGGGUGCGUAGGCGGGAUGCCAGGUCGGCGGUAAAAAUGCGGUGCCCAACGCUGUCGAGCCGUUGAAACUGGCGUUCUUGAGUGGGCGAGAAGUAUGCGGAAUGCGUGGUGUAGCGGUGAAAUGCAUAGAUAUCACGCAGAACUCCGAUUGCGAAGGCAGCAUACCGGCGCCCUACUGACGCUGAGGCACGAAAGCGUGGGUAUCGAACAGGAUUAGAUACCCGUGUA